RNAcentral lists this ribosomal RNA (460 nucleotides) under uncultured bacterium. RNAcentral's name for it is "partial 16S ribosomal RNA". It matches the Rfam family "Bacterial small subunit ribosomal RNA", at positions 338 to 795 of the family's 1533-position model. The record is from RNAcentral.
CCUACGGGAGACAGCAGUGAGGAAUAUUGGUCAAUGGGCGCGAGCCUGAACCAGCCAAGUAGCGUGAAGGAUGACUGCCCUACGGGUUGUAAACUUCUUUUAUAAAGGAAUAAAGUGAGGCACGUGUGCAUUUUUGUAUGUACUUUAUGAAUAAGAAUCGGCUAACUCUGUGCCAGCAGCCGCGGGAACACGGAGGAUCCGAGCGUUAUCCAGAUUUAUUGGGUUUAAAGGGAGCGUAGAUGGGUUGGUAAGUCAGUUGUGAAAGUUUGCGGCUCAAACGUAAAAUUGCAAUUGAUACUGGCAGCCUUGAGUACAGUUGAGGUGGGCGGAAUUCGUGGUGUAGCGGUGAAAUGCUUAGAUAUAACGAAGAACUCCGAUUGCGAAGGCAGCCUACUAAACUGCCACUGACAUUGAUGCUCGAAAGUGUGGGUAUCAAACAGGAUUAGAUACCCGAGUAGUC